This 122-nucleotide small nucleolar RNA is filed under the name Nannospalax galili (Upper Galilee mountains blind mole rat). RNAcentral's name for it is "Small nucleolar RNA SNORA70 (ENSNGAG00000005001.1)". It matches the Rfam family "Small nucleolar RNA SNORA70", at positions 1 to 106 of the family's 135-position model. From Rfam's summary of the family: snoRNA U70 seems to be exclusive to mammals and is a member of the H/ACA class of snoRNA which contain H (ANANNA) and ACA box motifs. Lineage: Eukaryota; Metazoa; Chordata; Mammalia; Rodentia; Spalacidae. The record is from RNAcentral.
UAGCAAAUUAAGAUGCACAACUAGAUUCCUUUCCUCAUGGGGACCUGGUGUGCAACGACUGUGAAUAUCAGCAUCCUUAGUAGUAUAUGCAGCCCGUUGCUUGCAUAUAUAUAAAUAUAAAU